RNAcentral lists this ribosomal RNA (253 nucleotides) under uncultured bacterium. Its description in RNAcentral is "partial 16S ribosomal RNA". It matches the Rfam family "Bacterial small subunit ribosomal RNA", at positions 524 to 776 of the family's 1533-position model. The record is from RNAcentral.
UACGUAGGGUCCAAGCGUUAAUCGGAAUUACUGGGCGUAAAGCGUGCGCAGGCGGUUCUGAAAGUCAGCUGUGAAAGCCCCGGGCUUAACCUGGGAAUGGCGGUUGAAACUACAGGACUAGAAUCUGGCAGAGGGGGGUGGAAUUCCACGUGUAGCAGUGAAAUGCGUAGAGAUGUGGAGGAACACCGAUGGCGAAGGCAGCCCCCUGGGCUGAGAUUGACGCUCAGGCACGAAAGCGUGGGGAGCAAACAGG